RNAcentral lists this ribosomal RNA (484 nucleotides) under uncultured Pseudomonadota bacterium. RNAcentral describes it as "bacterial SSU rRNA". It matches the Rfam family "Bacterial small subunit ribosomal RNA", at positions 355 to 857 of the family's 1533-position model. The record is from RNAcentral. Lineage: Bacteria; Pseudomonadati; Pseudomonadota.
UGGGGAAUAUUGGACAAUGGGCGCAAGCCUGAUCCAGCCAUGCCGCGUGAGUGAUGAAGGCCUUAGGGUUGUAAAGCUCUUUCGUCAGGGAAGAUAAUGACGGUACCUGAAGAAGAAGCCCCGGCUAACUUCGUGCCAGCAGCCGCGGUAAUACGAAGGGGGCUAGCGUUGCUCGGAAUCACUGGGCGUAAAGCGCACGUAGGCGGCUUUCUAAGUCAGGGGUGAAAUCCCGGGGCUCAACCCCGGAACUGCCUUUGAUACUGGAGAGCUUGAGUUCGGGAGAGGUGAGUGGAACUGCGAGUGUAGAGGUGAAAUUCGUAGAUAUUCGCAAGAACACCAGUGGCGAAGGCGGCUCACUGGCCCGAUACUGACGCUGAGGUGCGAAAGCAUGGGGAGCAAACAGGAUUAGAUACCCUGGUAGUCCACGCCGUAAACGAUGGAUGCUAGCCGUUGGCGAGCUUGCUCGUCAGUGGCGCAGCUAACG